AACCAUUCUCACCUGCGGCUAGACCUGCGGAAGGAUCAUUAUCGUUGGGCUCCUGCCCAUUCGAGAUAACACCCUUGCCUUUUUGAGUACCUUUUCGUUUCCUCGGCAGGCACGCCUGCCAACGGGGACCCUUCAAAACGCUUUGUAAUACCUGUCAUUGUCUGAUAUAACAAGCAAAAAUCAAAACUUUCAACAACGGAUCU
Molecule: unclassified non-coding RNA, 203 nt
Filed under: soil metagenome
Description: partial contains 5.8S ribosomal RNA, internal transcribed spacer 2, and large subunit ribosomal RNA
Source: RNAcentral